GACGAACGCUGGCUUCGUGCUUAACACAUGCAAGUCGAACGGAAAGGCCCUGCUUUUGUGGGGUGCUCGAGUGGCGAACGGGUGAGUAACACGUGAGUAACCUGCCCUUGACUUUGGGAUAACUUCAGGAAACUGGGGCUAAUACCGGAUAGGAGCUCCUGCUGCAUGGUGGGGGUUGGAAAGUUUCGGCGGUUGGGGAUGGACUCGCGGCUUAUCAGCUUGUUGGUGGGGUAGUGGCUUACCAAGGCUUUGACGGGUAGCCGGCCUGAGAGGGUGACCGGCCACAUUGGGACUGAGAUACGGCCCAGACUCCUACGGGAGGCAGCAGUGGGGAAUAUUGCACAAUGGGCGGAAGCCUGAUGCAACAACGCCGCGUGCGGGAUGACGGCCUUCGGGUUGUAAACCGCUUUCGCCUGUGACGAAGCGUGAGUGACGGUAAUGGGUAAAGAAGCACCGGCUAACUACGUGCCAGCAGCCGCGGUGAUACGUAAGGUGCGAGCGUUGUCCGGAUUUAUUGGGCGUAAAGGGCUCGUAGGUGGUUGAUCGCGUCGGAAGUGUAAUCUUGGGGCUUAACCCUGAGCGUGCUUUCGAUACGGGUUGACUUGAGGAAGGUAGGGGAGAAUGGAAUUCCUGGUGGAGCGGUGGAAUGCGCAGAUAUCAGGAGGAACACCAGUGGCGAAGGCGGUUCUCUGGGCCUUUCCUGACGCUGAGGAGCGAAAGCGUGGGGAGCGAACAGGCUUAGAUACCCUGGUAGUCCACGCUGUAAACGGUGGGUACUAGGUGUGGGGUCCAUUCCACGGGUUCCGUGCCGUAGCUAACGCUUUAAGUACCCCGCCUGGGGAGUACGGCCGCAAGGCUAAAACUCAAAGGAAUUGACGGGGCCCCGCACAAGCGGCGGAGCAUGCGGAUUAAUUCGAUGCAACGCGUAGAACCUUACCUGGGUUUGACAUGGAUCGGGAGUGCUCAGAGAUGGGUGUGCCUCUUUUGGGGUCGGUUCACAGGUGGUGCAUGCCUGUCGUCAGCUCGUGUCGUGAGAUGUUGGGUUAAGUCCCGCAACGAGCGCAACCCUUGUUCACUGUUGCCAGCACGUUAUGGUGGGGACUCAGUGGAGACCGCCGGGGUCAACUCGGAGGAAGGUGGGGAUGACGUCAAGUCCUCAUGCCCCUUAUGUCCAGGGCUUCACGCAUGCUACAAUGGCUGGUACAGAGAGUGGCGAGCCUGUGAGGGUGAGCGAAUCUCGGAAAGCCGGUCUCAGUUCGGAUUGGGGUCUGCAACUCGACCUCACGAAGUCGGAGUCGCUAGUAAUCGCAGAUCAGCAACGCUGCGGUGAAUACGUUCCCGGGGCU
Molecule: ribosomal RNA, 1346 nt
Filed under: uncultured bacterium
Lineage: Bacteria
Description: bacterial SSU rRNA
Rfam family: Bacterial small subunit ribosomal RNA
Source: RNAcentral